This 464-nucleotide ribosomal RNA is filed under the name uncultured soil bacterium. Its description in RNAcentral is "bacterial SSU rRNA". It matches the Rfam family "Bacterial small subunit ribosomal RNA", at positions 26 to 530 of the family's 1533-position model. The record is from RNAcentral.
AGAUUGAACGCUGGCGGCAUGCCUUACACAUGCAAGUCGAACGGCAGCACGGGAGCAAUCCUGGUGGCGAGUGGCGAACGGGUGAGUAAUAUAUCGGAACGUGCCCAGUAAUGGGGGAUAGCCCGGCGAAAGCCGGAUUAAUACCGCAUACGACCUACGGGUGAAAGCGGGGGAUCGCAAGACCUCGCGUUAUUGGAGCGGCCGAUAUCAGAUUAGCUUGUUGCGGGUAAAGCCCACCAAGGCAACGAUCUGUAGCUGGUCUGAGAGGACGACCAGCCACACUGGACUGAGACACGGCCCAGACUCCUACGGGAGGCAGCAGUGGGAAUUUGGACAAGUGGGCGUAAGCCUGAUCCAGCCAUGCCGCGUGUGGGAAAGAAGGCCUUCGGUUGUAAACCACUUUUACGUCGUAAGGAAGAAACGGACUACUACGUAAUUAUUAGAGCUAAUAGUACGUACCGUAG